RNAcentral lists this ribosomal RNA (254 nucleotides) under uncultured bacterium. Its description in RNAcentral is "partial 16S ribosomal RNA". It matches the Rfam family "Bacterial small subunit ribosomal RNA", at positions 524 to 776 of the family's 1533-position model. The record is from RNAcentral.
UACGUAGGGAGCGAGCGUUGUCCGGAUUCAUUGGGCGUAAAGCGCUUUAAGGCGGUUCGCUAAGUCGCGUGUGAAACCUCCAGGCUCAACCUGGAGACGCCACGCGAUACUGGCGUGACUAGAGUUCGGUAGGGGAUCACGGGAUUCCUGGUGUAGCGGUGAAAUGCGCAGAUAUCAGGAGGAACACCAGUGGCGAAGGCGGUGAUCUGGGCCGAUACUGACGCUGUAGAGCGAAAGCGUGGGGAGCGAACAGG